Molecule: ribosomal RNA, 460 nt
Filed under: uncultured bacterium
Lineage: Bacteria
Description: partial 16S ribosomal RNA
Rfam family: Bacterial small subunit ribosomal RNA
Source: RNAcentral
CCUACGGGAGACAGCAGUGAGGAAUAUUGGUCAAUGGACGAGAGUCUGAACCAGCCAAGUAGCGUGAAGGAUGACUGCCCUAUGGGUUGUAAACUUCUUUUAUAUGGGAAUAAAAUGUUCCACGUGUGGGAGUUUGUAUGUACCAUAUGAUUCAGGAUCGGCUAACUCCGUGCCAGCAGCCGCGGUAAUACGGAGGAUCCGAGCGUUAUCCGGAUUUAUUGGGUUUAAAGGGAGCGUAGGUGGAUUGUUAAGUCUGUCGUGAAAGUUUGCGGCUCAACCGUGAAAUUGCAGUGGAAACUGGCAGUCUUGAGUACAGUAGAGGUGAGCGGAAUUCGUGGUGUAGCGGUGAAAUGCUUAGAUAUCACGAAGAACUCCGGUUGCGAAGGCAGUUCACUGGACUGCAACUGACACUGAGGCUCGAAAGUGUGGGUAUCAAACAGGAUUAGAUACCCUAGUAGUC